GAUGAAGAACGCAGUGAAAUGCGAUAAGUAAUGUGAAUUGCAGAAUUCAGUGAAUCAUCGAAUCUUUGAACGCACAUUGCGCCCGCUAGUAUUCUGGCGGGCAUGCCUGUUCGAGCGUCAUUUCAACCCUCAAGCCCCCGGGCUUGGUGUUGGGGAUCGGCGUGCCCUCGCGGCGCGCCGUCCCCUAAAUCUAGUGGCGGUCUCGCUGUAGCUUCCUCUGCGUAGUAGCAACACUCGCACUGGAUCGCAGCGCGGCCACGCCGUUAAACCCCCCACUUCUGAAAGUUUGACCUCGGAUCAGGUAGGAAUACCCGCUGAACUUAAGCAUAUCAGUAAGCGGAGGA
Molecule: unclassified non-coding RNA, 344 nt
Filed under: soil metagenome
Description: partial contains 5.8S ribosomal RNA, internal transcribed spacer 2, and large subunit ribosomal RNA
Rfam family: 5.8S ribosomal RNA (bases 1-120)
Source: RNAcentral